GGUUAUCCCGAAGACCCAGCCUACACACCUGGACAAUAGGUUGGGAGCAGUGAUGACCCAGUUCAAGAUGAAAUUGAAUCAAUCCCACUUCGCUGUCCCAGAUAUUGUUGGAGUUUUGUUUUCCCCUCACCCUGAGUUGGGAAAGUUGCCUGAAUGAUUUGUGCCUGAGCGCUCUUAUCUAGAGUGGAACGUAAAGUUGUGACCAUUUUCACUGGGAAAAUAGGUGAUUUGUCUGGAGGAGAGUAUCCCAAGUUCCAGACUCGAAUGCUAUGUGCCCUUUUAUGUUACCUUCUUC
RNAcentral lists this long non-coding RNA (295 nucleotides) under Pan troglodytes (chimpanzee). Its description in RNAcentral is "long non-coding RNA NONPTRT002154". Lineage: Eukaryota; Metazoa; Chordata; Mammalia; Primates; Hominidae. The record is from RNAcentral.